This is a long non-coding RNA of Drosophila ficusphila, 648 nucleotides long. RefSeq lists it as uncharacterized. NCBI's taxonomy places the organism in Eukaryota, Metazoa, Arthropoda, Insecta, Diptera, Drosophilidae. The transcript is spliced from 2 exons. The record is from RefSeq and is a predicted model, not a curated record.
AUAAAUGUUAAAAAUGUUGACUCAAUCGUUUCAAUACUCUUAUCUUAAAUUGUUGUCUUGGUUCAAACAUUUCUUUGUUCUUUCCAAUAUAUUUCGCUUGCACCCAAGUUUUUUUCACAAGUCUUAAUUAUUCCAAGUUAUUUUUUUUUAAAAGUCGAGAAAAGAUAUGUGUUUGUUCUUACAAAGGCUUCGAUAAACUAAACUAAAAAAAAGGAAACCUUCUUUGUAAUGGUUGCAAAAAUCAGGAAACUGAUUAAUAACUUGCCUACAUGUCGCGUGGUAUGGCACAGAUUUGUAUCCAUAAAAUAGUCAAACAGUUGGGCAUUUAUCAACUCAUAUCUGCCACCCAACAAUAUAAGGCAACUUUACAGCAGAUCCAUAAAAUGUAUGACAACAAAUUAGUGUGCUGCGACUAAUGGCUCGAACAGGCUUUUCUGGGUUGGGCCUGGUUCGAUUAGAUGGCUUCACACUGGAAACGGCUGAGCUAUUAGGCCAAUGAGGGAUACAGUGGAUAGAAAUUAUGAUAUUUUAGCAUUUCGGUUAGUGACAAGACUAAAAUCGUAGAAAAUGUUGAAUAUUUGGUAAUUUCAUUGAUGUAUUAUAAAAUAAUCAGUAAUUCUAAUAAAGUUAAUUAAAAUUUGUAUCGUU